This 947-nucleotide non-coding RNA is filed under the name Apteronotus rostratus. Its description in RNAcentral is "12S ribosomal RNA". It matches the Rfam family "Bacterial small subunit ribosomal RNA". Lineage: Eukaryota; Metazoa; Chordata; Actinopteri; Gymnotiformes; Apteronotidae. The record is from RNAcentral.
UAAAAGCUUGGUCCUGACUUUACUAUCAGCUAUAGCCCAAUUUAUACAUGCAAGUAUCCGCACCCCAGUGAGAAUGCCCUCAAUUCCCCAUCCGGGAGCGAGGAGCAGGUAUCAGGCACACACUAUAGCCCAAGACGCCUUGCUAUGCCACACCCUCAAGGGACCCAGCAGUAAUUAACAUUAAGCAAUAAGUGAAAACUUGACUUAGUUAAGGCUAACAGGGCCGGUAAAUCUCGUGCCAGCCACCGCGGUUAUACGAAAGACCCAAGUUGAUAGUCACGGCGUAAAGAGUGGUUAAGAGACCUAAAAAAUAAAGCCAAACACUUCCCAGGCCGUUGCACGUUUUCCGGAAACACGAAACCCAAUCACGAAAGUAGCUUUACAUAAAUCACCUGACCCCACGAAAGCUAAGAAACAAACUGGGAUUAGAUACCCCACUAUGCUUAGCCCUAAACCUAGAUGUAUAAUUCACCAUAAACAUCCGCCCGAUUACUACGAGCCCCAGCUUAAAACUCAAAGGACUUGGCGGCGUCUCCACCCGACUAGAGGAGCCUGUUCUAGAACCGAUAACCCCCGUUUAACCUCACCACCCCUUGUUUUCACAGCCUAUAUACCGCCGUCGUCAGCUUACCCUGUGAAGGAAAAAUAGUAAGCAAAAUGGACACAACCCAAAACGUCAGGCCGAGGUGCAGCAUAUGGGUUGGGAAGAAAUGGGCUACAUUUUCUACAAUAGAAUAUUUACGAACGGCAGCAUGAAACAUGCGCCCGAAGGUGGAUUUAGUAGUAAAAAGCAAACAGAGUGUCCUUUUGAAUAGGCUCUGAGAUGAGCACACACCGCCCGUCACCCCCUCCUCUCAACUCCAAAUAUAGUAUUUAACACAUUAACAUGAAUUCGGAGGGGCAAGUCGUAACAAGGUAAGUGUACCAGAAGGUGUACUUGGAACAAC